RNAcentral lists this unclassified non-coding RNA (227 nucleotides) under rhizosphere metagenome. Its description in RNAcentral is "partial ribosomal RNA internal transcribed spacer region". The record is from RNAcentral.
GUAGGUGAACCUGCGGAAGGAUCAUUACCGAAGUCAAGGCCCCUUCGGGGGCUAAACUUCCACCCUUUGUUUACCUUACCAUUGUUGCUUUGGCGGGCCGCCUUAGGCCACCGGCUCUCGAGCUGGUGCGUGCCCGCCAGAGACCCCCCAAACCCAAACCAUAUUUAGUGUCGUCUGAAAACAAGUUUAAAUUAUUAAAACUUUCAACAACGGAUCUCUUGGCUCUG